ACUAGAAUAUAUAAUCGGCUCGAAGACCUCUUUGCGUAGGGGAGAAGAGGGUCCAUAGCCGUUGGCAAGUGCUAGAGCGGCCACAUAUUCAGGUUGGUCACUCAAUUUUACCUCAAAGAAUCCACCGUUUUUCCGUGGAACCGAGACAGUCUCCGCGAUUUUUGUGAUGCCAAGUUUUCUCAGCACAGGGUAGCUAAAGGCAAACGGUAGAAAAGCAACAAAACGAACGGCCUGACUUUUACCAAAUCCGAGACCGAUAGCGCACAAGUA
Molecule: ribosomal RNA, 270 nt
Filed under: uncultured eukaryote
Lineage: Eukaryota
Description: partial large subunit ribosomal RNA
Source: RNAcentral